Molecule: ribosomal RNA, 433 nt
Filed under: uncultured bacterium
Lineage: Bacteria
Description: partial 16S ribosomal RNA
Rfam family: Bacterial small subunit ribosomal RNA
Source: RNAcentral
AACGAACGCUGGCGGCAUGCCUAACACAUGCAAGUCGAACGAAACCUUCGGGUCUAGUGGCGCACGGGUGCGUAACGCGUGGGAACCUGCCCUUAGGUUCGGAAUAACUCCCCGAAAGGGGUGCUAAUACCGGAUAAUGUCUUCGGACCAAAGAUUUAUCGCCUUUGGAGGGGCCCGCGUUGGAUUAGCUAGUUGGUAGGGUAAAAGCCUACCAAGGCGACGAUCCAUAGCUGGUCUGAGAGGAUGAUCAGCCACACUGGGACUGAGACACGGCCCAGACUCCUACGGGAGGCAGCAGUGGGGAAUAUUGGACAAUGGGCGAAAGCCUGAUCCAGCAAUGCCGCGUGAGUGAUGAAGGCCUUAGGGUUGUAAAGCUCUUUUACCCGGGAUGAUAAUGACAGUACCGGGAGAAUAAGCUCCGGCUAACUCCGUG